GGUGACAAACCGGAGGAAGGCGGGGAUGACGUCAAGUCAUCAUGGCCCUUACGGGUAGGGCUACACACGUGCUACAAUGGCCGAUACAGAGGGCGGCGAAGGGGCGACCUGGAGCAAAUCCUUAAAAGUCGGUCGUAGUCCGGAUUGGAGUCUGCAACUCGACUCCAUGAAGUCGGAAUCGCUAGUAAUCGCGAAUCAGCAUGUCGCGGUGAAUACGUUCCCGGGCCUUGUACACACCGCCCGUCACACCAUGGGAGUGGGUUGCACCAGAAGUAGAUAGUCUAACCUUCGGGGGGACGUUUACCACGGUGUGGUUCAUGACUGGGGUGAAGUCGUAACAAGGUAGCCGUAGGGGAACCUGCGGCUGGAUCACCUCCUUAC
This 381-nucleotide ribosomal RNA is filed under the name Legionella pneumophila. RNAcentral's name for it is "bacterial SSU rRNA". It matches the Rfam family "Bacterial small subunit ribosomal RNA", at positions 1154 to 1533 of the family's 1533-position model. The record is from RNAcentral. Lineage: Bacteria; Pseudomonadati; Pseudomonadota; Gammaproteobacteria; Legionellales; Legionellaceae.